Molecule: long non-coding RNA, 1193 nt
Organism: Dreissena polymorpha
Lineage: Eukaryota; Metazoa; Mollusca; Bivalvia; Myida; Dreissenidae
Exons: 3
Source: RefSeq, a predicted model, not a curated record
UGUUGUGGUGUCAAGCGAUUGACUGUCAGUUGAGGUUCAGAUGUCGAGCUGUGCGGACGUGUUCAUCGAGCUGCUGUCUACAAAAAACGUGAGUACAAAUUUUUUUCGUUUUACUGUUUACAAGUUGCGUGAUGAUGUAUGAUGGUUGUAAUGUGUUGGGUAGAAAUUACUCAGUGCUGAUACAGUGUCGAUAUGUUGUGAUGAGCGAUAAUAGUGGAUGAUGGUGGAACAGAAUAUUCAUUGAGCUAUUUUGAGGAAGCGAACAUAUGAUGGAAAAAUGUUGCAAAAAUAUUAAAUGACAAUGUAUUGAAUCGCUUUUGUUGAUAUGUAUGAUAUUGAUUAAAUUGUAUUUGCAUGCUGUAACAUUUCUAUUCCAUUUCAGGGGGCUGUGGUGAGUAUUGUAGUAUAAAUUUGUUUCAAUAAAUCAUGAUGAAUGAAAACUGAUUUUGAUUCGUUUUGUACAGGUUUACUUGUAUAGAAGUGUAAUGCGUUGGGUAGAAAUUAGAAUCUACUCAGUACUGAUAUAGUGUCGAUAUGUUGUGAUUAGCGAUGAUGGUGUAUGAUGGUGGAACAGAACAUGAGCUACUUUGGGGAAACGAACAUAUGAUUGAAAAAAAUUUGCAAACAUAGUAGAUAAAUGAUAUGAUAUUGCUUAAAUUGUAUUUGCAUGCUGUAACAUUUCUAUUUCAUUUCAGGGUGCUGUGGUGAGUACUGUAGAUUGUAGUGCAUAUGUAUAGAAUUCAAUAAACGAUGAUGAAUGAAAACUGAUUUCGAUUCGUUUUGUGUAAUUUUAGGUAUUUUCACUCUAUCACAACUCUGUCGGUUGGUGUUCAUGAGUGUGAGACUAAUACAGCAAUGUUUGAGUAGUACAAAAAUGUUUUCGCUUUUGUGGUCGCCAGCUGUCCGUGAUCUGUAAAGUGAAAAUACACAGAGCUAUGAAGCAUACAAAUGUUUCGAAAUUUUAUCAAUGAUUGUAUACUAUGCAUGUUUUGAUUUAGUUCGUUUCAGAUUUGACAUGAGAUGAAAACCUGACAUGAUUUGAACAGAGCUGGGAAACGAAAAGAUUUUCAGAUGUGUGCUGGCAGUUCAAGUCUGGCAGCUGGAGUGAACAGUCGUGUUUUCUGGAGCUCCAACAAUAUGCUAGAAGGAGUGCUUAUCCAGUGAUGAUAUGACAGUUGGAGUGAACAGUGGAG